GCACAAGCGGUGGAUGAUGUGGUUAAUUCGAUGCAACGCGAAAACCUUACCACCUUUGACAUGUACGGAAUCCUUAGAGAUAGAGGAGUGCUCGAAAGAGAGCCGUAACACAGGUGCUGCAUGGCUGUCGUCAGCUCGUGUCGUGAGAUGUUGGGUUAAGUCCCGCAACGAGCGCAACCCUUGUCAUUAGUUGCUACAUUCAGUUGGGCACUCUAAUGAGACUGCCGGUGACAAACCGGAGGAAGGUGGGGAUGACGUCAAGUCCUCAUGGCCCUUAUAGGUGGGGCUACACACGUCAUACAAUGGAUGGUACAAAGGGUCGCCAACCCGCGAGGGGGAGCCAAUCCCAUAAAGCCAUUCGUAGUCCGGAUCGCAGUCUGCAACUCGACUGCGUGAAGUCGGAAUCGCUAGUAAUCGUGGAUCAGAAUGUCACGGUGAAUACGUUCCCGGGUCUU
Molecule: ribosomal RNA, 455 nt
Filed under: uncultured Acidovorax sp.
Lineage: Bacteria; Pseudomonadati; Pseudomonadota; Betaproteobacteria; Burkholderiales; Comamonadaceae
Description: bacterial SSU rRNA
Rfam family: Bacterial small subunit ribosomal RNA
Source: RNAcentral